Parus major (Great Tit) is the source of this 3647-nucleotide long non-coding RNA. RefSeq lists it as uncharacterized. The record is from RefSeq and is a predicted model, not a curated record. The transcript has 3 exons. Lineage: Eukaryota; Metazoa; Chordata; Aves; Passeriformes; Paridae.
GAUAAGGGAAGCUGCCUCUCUGCCCUGCCUCAGAUGGGCGCGGGGAGAGCUGCUCUUCACAGGCAGCCCCGGUGGAAAGCCAUUUAAACAAGCGUGCAGGAAAUACUGGGCCCAUCUUUUGAAUAAUUCUCGCAGCAGCAGCACGCAGCCAAAAGUUGGGAGAGUGUGGCGUGCCGAGGAGAGGCAUCCUCGUCCGCAGACGUGCGUAUUUACUGGCGUCUGCAUCAGGCUUUCUUCUCCGCCGGAGCAUUGAGAAAUUUAGCGAUAAUUCAUGCUUGGUAAAUUUGUUUUCUGUAAUAAGAUCAAGCCCACAAAGGGAGAAUGAAAAGCAGUGCCGCCUGCGCUUCCUUAUCAGCGGUGAUGCCAGCUAAGAGCUGCGAUCGCAGGAAGCUGCUCCGAGGUGCUCUCGCCUGCUGCUUUAUUCAGUUUACUCAGAAAAGACUUCGCCGCAGUUUUAAUUUUCAGCUUCGCACCAGCGAAGCGGCGGCCAGUUCAGUGGAGCAGCGGUGGCCAGCGGGCCCCCACCGAGAGCGGCCAGGCUCCUCUCCAUCCCGGCAGACCACUCGAGUGGAACAUCGGCCAAGCGGCGGCUUUGUUGCUGGGGAGACGAGUACCAGCCUCUCGCUUCCGUCUGUCCCUGCCCUCACUCUUCCCAGCUGGUAGGGGAGGGAAACUGGCAGCGCAAACCUUGGUGCUGUACCCACUUCUCACAUUUGCCUGGCAGAGGAUGCGCCAACAGGAGGGAAAUGGUGCGCGACGCAUUUGUGGAGGUGCACGUGUGUCUCCUCUGUAGCUGCAUUAGCACAUCGGCAGGUCUUACAUUUCUUCAGCCUUGGAUGUCCUGACAGAGUAGAAAGAAUCACAGAUCUCAUUUGGCACUACGAACUUCACCUGUGUUUGAAUUACAGUGCAAAACAGAAGGCUGCAGCUUCCUCCCAUUCAAUUGCACUCCAUUUUACAUCCAGGUUUACCCUUCUACCUCAGGAACUGGGGUGCCUACAGAGCUGGAAAUGACAGGUCAUCUCCUUUCCUGCCUGUUUUUGGCCAUAGUUUGGUGGUUGAUGAGUAGUAAAAGUAGGUGUCUGCUCAGGCAGAAGGCUGAGGACCUGCCAGCCACUCCAGCUAUGUCCAAGGGUAGUUAUAGUCACAGGACUUCAUUUCCUAAGGCUGUCACACACCAGGAAAGCCCAGAGAAGCGCUCUUAAAUACACUAACCACUAGUCAUAUAAAGAGAUUUUCUAGUCAAUAAAGAGAUUUUCAACAGGCCAGUGGAGAAAAUUCCUUUAGCUGUUCAUUUUUAAAAAUCCACUUGUAUCUGUGCAAAUGACUGUUUGCAAGUAAACACAUUCUUAGACCCUGGAAAAGGGGACUGUAGUGUUGCUGAGGGUCUGGAUGCACCUACUGAUGUCAUUGCACAUGCAGGAGCCAAUUUUGUUUUGAGAAGAACAGUGUAUCUACAGCUUGCACUCUGUCAUAACAUAUGUGAAAUUAAUAUCCUACUGCAAGUGUAUACGGUGCAAAGGAAGCCUUUGGUACAGUGCACCUUCUUGAAAUUAAUCUCUAGCUCCUGAAUCCUUCAUCCUGAGGAGAAGAAACAAGGCUUGAAAGCACUCCAAAGAACCAUGUUGACAUCACAGCUGCUGUUUUUAAUACCCCACUGUGCAGGGUAGCAUCCUGAAAGAGACUAAAAGCCUCUGUCCAUCUACUCAUGCCAGAUCCAAAGCAGGUGGCUGUUAGAGCUGUCUUUUUCAGGUUGCCAGGCCUUCUUUUGGGGAUCUAUCUUAGAGCCAAGGGCAAUCUCCAGUGGGGUUUGCACCAAUUAUUUACUCUAUUUAUAUGUAGCUAAUUAAGUGAUAAUCCCAAAGAAUCAGGAUAUAUGUGAAAUAAUAAUUAUUACUCACCAAGCACAAGCUGAGCAAAUUAUUUGUUUGUUUCUUUUGUUUAUGCCCAUAUGCUUUAAUACUGAUGAUUGAAAGUUUGUCACUGCACCUUGGGAUGUAAUUAUACUGUCAAAACUAGAGUUAAAGAUAGAAUAAGUUUGGUUGAUGGGGGAAAAUGCAGAGUUUUGAUUUCAGAGAAGCAAAAAAUGUGUCGUUUGGACUCAGCUGUGACAUUAGAAAUAUUUUUGAGUUCCCUAUCAAUGUUAAAUGCUGGAAAGACCACCUCUGCUCACAGGAGAGGUUCAGAGAUUUGUGGUACAGUUUUAAUGGCACAGCAUCUCUGCAGAUGUGUGAUGGUCUCCUGGUGUGGAUGUUUCAGAGGCCAUUUCAGCAAGUUAACCAGGAGGAUGUGUCCCACCACAGACUUUCCUCUAAACUAUUCUGUUAUGAGAAAGUACUAAACUGGGCUCCUGCAUGCAAACAUGUUUUGUUAUGAUGGUGUCUGGAUGGGUGGGGUUGGUCUUUGUGUUCAAGCCAUUAUAUUGUGAGACCAGGUUAAAUAAAAUGAGGCUCUUAGUACUCCCUGGGUAAGCAAAACAAGUAUAGAAUGUGCUAGGAUACACCUAACUUAGAUUCUCAAAGUUUUUUGUAUAAUCAGCAAGGCUGUAAAAGUGCUGCUUUUAAAUUUUUAGCACCCCUUGGAUACCUCUGUAGUCUCAGGUCCAUUCCCAGGGUUAACUGAAGCCUAGUUCACGAUUCUCAGUACUGUCAGUAGUGGGAUCACCAGCUGGAGGUGGUGCAAAAGGGCACUUUGAAAGGUGAUAAUUUGCAACUGCUUUGCAUGGAAAUAACUUUCCAUUUCUUCUUCCUUUCCUGUGCUGUCUUCACUGUCUUGGAAGAAGUAUGACUGAGGGAAAAAUGGUUUAUUAAACGAUAUGGGAUACUGUACUAGAUAAACCUUCAGGGAUUCUCACUAGAUAAACUUUGUCUUGGAUCCAACAUAGUUGUCCUUGCGUUGAGCUUUUUUAUUUUAAUCACUUUCUUCUCUUUUGCUUUAGAAUAUCUUAUGACUGCAGCUGGGAAAAUUUGGUUGUAUGAGAGUGCUCUUGCAGGAAAACUACCUCCUGCAGUGAUACAAAUGUGGUGGGCUUUGGUUUUAAAUUAUGAAUUAUUGCAGUUACUUUGAUUUAUAUUGAACAUUUUAAUGCACACAAAUAAGUGGAAAAGUUUUAUUUCUAUUUGACCUCAUGUGAUGAAUUCAAAUGAGAGGGGGUUGAAUUUUUAAAAUAGAAGAUCUAAGGUCAUUUAAUUGCAUUGUUUUCCAUAUUUCUUUUCCCUUUUAUUUCUAAAUAAUUUAUCUGUUAGAGUUACUCUGUGUGAGAACAAAAUUGGCUCCAUUUUUAGAGCCAAUUGGAACAACCACCCACAAUUAUUAUUGCUUUAGGUCAAGUGCUGAAGAAAAUAACCAAUCCUGUGUGCAUGGCAACUAUUUUCAGAGACAUCUGAAUAAAAAGUAUAUAAAAGGAUAGACAAGAUGGAUGGGUGAACUGAGAACAACCAAGCCUUUCAGUCUUUUUACAUGGGAUGUUCACCUCAAUGACAGCUGGAGCUAUACUGUACAAAUGAGUUUGCAGGAUUGAGACCUCAGCUAACAAGCUGUGCAGAAAGUCACAAAAAGAUCAGUCUUCAUUUUGAUAUAAUCAAAUUAAAGAAAAAUUUUAAACUGAUUUUUUUUCAAAAUAAAAAGGGAAAAGAAGAAGAAAAGGA